This 253-nucleotide ribosomal RNA is filed under the name uncultured bacterium. RNAcentral describes it as "partial 16S ribosomal RNA". It matches the Rfam family "Bacterial small subunit ribosomal RNA", at positions 524 to 776 of the family's 1533-position model. The record is from RNAcentral.
UACAGAGGGGGCAAGCGUUGUUCGGAAUUACUGGGCGUAAAGGGCGCGUAGGCGGCCUUCUAAGUCGAACGUGAAAUCCCCGGGCUCAACCCGGGAACUGCGUCCGAGACUGGGAGGCUAGAAUCCGGGAGAGGGAUGUGGAAUUCCAGGUGUAGCGGUGAAAUGCGUAGAUAUCUGGAGGAACAUCGGUGGCGAAGGCGGCAUCCUGGACCAACACUGACGCUGAGGAGCGAAAGCCAGGGGAGCAAACGGG